GUGGGGAAUAUUGGACAAUGGGCGAAAGCCUGAUCCAGCCAUGCCGCGUGUGUGAAGAAGGUCUUCGGAUUGUAAAGCACUUUAAGUUGGGAGGAAGGGCAGUAAGUUAAUACCUUGCUGUUUUGACGUUACCGACAGAAUAAGCACCGGCUAACUUCGUGCCAGCAGCCGCGGUAAUACGAAGGGUGCAAGCGUUAAUCGGAAUUACUGGGCGUAAAGCGCGCGUAGGUGGUUCAGCAAGUUGGAGGUGAAAUCCCCGGGCUCAACCUGGGAACUGCCUCCAAAACUGCAUGACUAGAGUACGGUAGAGGGUAGUGGAAUUUCCUGUGUAGCGGCGAAAUGCGUAGAUAUAGGAAGGAACACCAGUGGCGAAGGCGACUACCUGGACUGAUACUGACACUGAGGUGCGAAAGCGUGGGGAGCAAACAGGAUUAGAAACCCGAGUAGUCC
RNAcentral lists this ribosomal RNA (450 nucleotides) under uncultured bacterium. RNAcentral describes it as "bacterial SSU rRNA". It matches the Rfam family "Bacterial small subunit ribosomal RNA", at positions 354 to 796 of the family's 1533-position model. The record is from RNAcentral.